This 30-nucleotide non-coding RNA is filed under the name Homo sapiens (human). The record is from RNAcentral. Lineage: Eukaryota; Metazoa; Chordata; Mammalia; Primates; Hominidae.
UGAGAAUUGUCACUGGUGGGGUGACAGAGA